UUUGGUUAAGUUAGAAAGGGCACACGGUGGAUGCCUUGACACUAGGAGUCGAUGAAGGACGGGACUAACGCCGAUAUGCUUCGGGGAGCUGUAAGUAAGCUUUGAUCCGAAGAUUUCCGAAUGGGGAAACCCACCAUACGUAAUGGUAUGGUAUCCUUAUCUGAAUACAUAGGGUAAGGAAGACAGACCCAGGGAACUGAAACAUCUAAGUACCUGGAGGAAGAGAAAGCAAAUGCGAUUUCCUGAGUAGCGGCGAGCGAAACGGAACAUAGCCCAAACCAAGAGGCUUGCCUCUUGGGGUUGUAGGACAUUCUAUACGGAGUUACAAAGGAACGAGGUAGACGAAGCGACCUGGAAAGGUCCGUCGUAGAGGGUAACAACCCCGUAGUCGAAACUUCGUUCUCUCUUGAAUGUAUCCUGAGUACGGCGGAACACGUGAAAUUCCGUCGGAAUCUGGGAGGACCAUCUCCCAAGGCUAAAUACUCCCUAGUGAUCGAUAGUGAACCAGUACCGUGAGGGAAAGGUGAAAAGCACCCCGGAAGGGGAGUGAAAGAGAUCCUGAAACCGUGUGCCUACAAAUAGUCAGAGCCCGUUAACGGGUGAUGGCGUGCCUUUUGUAGAAUGAACCGGCGAGUUACGAUCCCGUGCGAGGUUAAGCUGAAGAGGCGGAGCCGCAGCGAAAGCGAGUCUGAAUAGGGCGUUUAGUACGUGGUCGUAGACCCGAAACCAGGUGAUCUACCCAUGUCCAGGGUGAAGUUCAGGUAACACUGAAUGGAGGCCCGAACCCACGCACGUUGAAAAGUGCGGGGAUGAGGUGUGGGUAGCGGAGAAAUUCCAAUCGAACCUGGAGAUAGCUGGUUCUCCCCGAAAUAGCUUUAGGGCUAGCCUUAAGUGUAAGAGUCUUGGAGGUAGAGCACUGAUUGGACUAGGGGUCCUCAUCGGAUUACCGAAUUCAGUCAAACUCCGAAUGCCAAUGACUUAUCCUUAGGAGUCAGACUGCGAGUGAUAAGAUCCGUAGUCAAAAGGGAAACAGCCCAGACCGCCAGCUAAGGUCCCAAAGUGUGUAUUAAGUGGAAAAGGAUGUGGAGUUGCUUAGACAACUAGGAUGUUGGCUUAGAAGCAGCCACCAUUUAAAGAGUGCGUAAUAGCUCACUAGUCGAGUGACUCUGCGCCGAAAAUGUACCGGGGCUAAAUACACCACCGAAGCUGCGGAUUGAUACCAAUGGUAUCAGUGGUAGGGGAGCGUUCUAAGGACAGUGAAGUCAGACCGGAAGGACUGGUGGAGUGCUUAGAAGUGAGAAUGCCGGUAUGAGUAGCGAAAGACGGGUGAGAAUCCCGUCCACCGAAUGCCUAAGGUUUCCUGAGGAAGGCUCGUCCGCUCAGGGUUAGUCAGGACCUAAGCCGAGGCCGACAGGCGUAGGCGAUGGACAACAGGUUGAUAUUCCUGUACCACCUCUUUAUCGUUUGAGCAAUGGAGGGACGCAGAAGGAUAGAAGAAGCGUGCGAUUGGUUGUGCACGUCCAAGCAGUUAGGCUGAUAAGUAGGCAAAUCCGCUUAUCGUGAAGGCUGAGCUGUGAUGGGGAAGCUCCUUAUGGAGCGAAGUCUUUGAUUCCCCGCUGCCAAGAAAAGCUUCUAGCGAGAUAAAAGGUGCCUGUACCGCAAACCGACACAGGUAGGCGAGGAGAGAAUCCUAAGGUGUGCGAGAGAACUCUGGUUAAGGAACUCGGCAAAAUGACCCCGUAACUUCGGGAGAAGGGGUGCUUUCUUAACGGAAAGCCGCAGUGAAUAGGCCCAAGCGACUGUUUAGCAAAAACACAGCUCUCUGCGAAGCCGUAAGGCGAAGUAUAGGGGGUGACACCUGCCCGGUGCUGGAAGGUUAAGGAGAGGGGUUAGCGUAAGCGAAGCUCUGAACUGAAGCCCCAGUAAACGGCGGCCGUAACUAUAACGGUCCUAAGGUAGCGAAAUUCCUUGUCGGGUAAGUUCCGACCCGCACGAAAGGUGUAACGAUUUGGGCACUGUCUCAACCAGAGACUCGGUGAAAUUAUAGUACCUGUGAAGAUGCAGGUUACCCGCGACAGGACGGAAAGACCCCGUGGAGCUUUACUGUAGCCUGAUAUUGAAUUUUGGUACAGUUUGUACAGGAUAGGCGGGAGCCUUUGAAACCGGAGCGCUAGCUUCGGUGGAGGCGCUGGUGGGAUACCGCCCUGACUGUAUUGAAAUUCUAACCUACGGGUCUUAUCGACCCGGGAGACAGUGUCAGGUGGGCAGUUUGACUGGGGCGGUCGCCUCCUAAAGUGUAACGGAGGCGCCCAAAGGUUCCCUCAGAAUGGUUGGAAAUCAUUCGUAGAGUGCAAAGGCAUAAGGGAGCUUGACUGCGAGACCUACAAGUCGAGCAGGGACGAAAGUCGGGCUUAGUGAUCCGGUGGUUCCGCAUGGAAGGGCCAUCGCUCAACGGAUAAAAGCUACCCCGGGGAUAACAGGCUUAUCUCCCCCAAGAGUCCACAUCGACGGGGAGGUUUGGCACCUCGAUGUCGGCUCAUCGCAUCCUGGGGCUGUAGUCGGUCCCAAGGGUUGGGCUGUUCGCCCAUUAAAGCGGUACGCGAGCUGGGUUCAGAACGUCGUGAGACAGUUCGGUCCCUAUCCGUCGUGGGCGUAGGAAAUUUGAGAGGAGCUGUCCUUAGUACGAGAGGACCGGGAUGGACGCACCGCUGGUGUACCAGUUGUUCUGCCAAGGGCAUAGCUGGGUAGCUAUGUGCGGAAGGGAUAAGUGCUGAAAGCAUCUAAGCAUGAAGCCCCCCUCAAGAUGAGAUUUCCCAUAGCGUAAGCUAGUAAGAUCCCUGAAAGAUGAUCAGGUUGAUAGGUUCGAGGUGGAAGCAUGGUGACAUGUGGAGCUGACGAAUACUAAUAGAUCGAGGACUUAACCAUAUAA
This 2929-nucleotide ribosomal RNA is filed under the name Bacillus cereus. RNAcentral describes it as "23S ribosomal RNA". It matches the Rfam family "Bacterial large subunit ribosomal RNA". Lineage: Bacteria; Bacillati; Bacillota; Bacilli; Caryophanales; Bacillaceae. The record is from RNAcentral.